RNAcentral lists this ribosomal RNA (1101 nucleotides) under Triticum aestivum (bread wheat). Its description in RNAcentral is "partial small subunit ribosomal RNA". The record is from RNAcentral. Lineage: Eukaryota; Viridiplantae; Streptophyta; Magnoliopsida; Poales; Poaceae.
AUGUUACGACAUCCACUGUGGGGAGCCAUCUGCUUGCUCGCCGUCUCGCUGGUCCUGUGCACAGACAAGCUCUGCACGGACGCCAGGCCGUCCGCCUACGCGCUCCUGGUCGACGACGACGACGACGAGGAAGACGGCGGCGACGGCUCGUCGUCCUUCUCCUUCUCCUCCCCGCAGGCGACGCCGGACGAACUGGCAUUCGGGUUCUACGACGGGACAUGCCCCAACGCCGAGGCCGUCGUCGCGUCCACCGUGCGGGAGCUCUUCGCCGGCGACCCCAACGUCGCCGCCGCGCUCGUGCGCCUCUUCUUUCACGACUGCUUCGUCCACGGCUGCGACGCCUCGGUGCUGCUGGACCGGAUCGGCGGCGGCGGCAAGUCGGAGAAGGACGCCGCCCCGAACCGCUCGCUGCGAGGCUUCGGCGCCGUCGACAAAAUUAAGGCGAGGCUGGAGAAGCAGUGCCCGGGGACCGUCUCCUGCGCCGACAUCUUGGCACUGGCCGCGCGGGACAGCCUCGUACUCGUGGGCGGGCCGACCUACCCAGUACUCACUGGCCGCCGAGAUAGCGCCGGGAGUUUCUACGACGACGUGAACAUCCCGGCCCCGAACGCCACCUACGCCAUGACGCUCAGCGCGUUCGCCCGCCGCGGCUUCACCGAGCGCGAGACCGUCGCGCUCUUAGGAGCACACAGCAUCGGGAAGGUGCAGUGCAGAUUCUUCAGGGACAGGAUCUACAACUUCGCCGGGACCGGCGAGCCGGACGACUCCCUGGACGCGGACAUGGUCGGCGAGAUGCGGGCCGUGUGCAGCGGAGACGGCGCGGCGCCGAUGGAGAUGGGGUACUACCGGCAGGGACGGGAAGUGGGGUUCGGCGCGCACUACUACGCGAAGCUCCUCGCGGGGCGGGGCAUCCUGCGCUCGGACCAGCAGCUCACGGCGGGGAGCACCGUGCGGUGGGUGCGCGCGUACGCGUCCGGGCAUCGCGGCGAGGAGGCUUUCCGCGAGGACUUCGCGCACGCCAUGGUUAAGCUGUCCGCGCUUGCGCCGCUCACAGGGUCGGCCGGGCAGGUCCGGAUCAGCUGCUCCAAGUCCGUUGAGUAG